UCUCUCUCUCUCUCUCUCUCUCGGCUCUCUGUGUUUCAAUUUUAAUGUUUCUAUGUUAUUUUCUUUAUCUUCCCAUGUCUUCUUCUCCUUCUCUAAUCAUAACACAAUCUGGUAGGCGCUAAUGAAUCAUUCUACAUUGAGACCAAGUCUAGAUCACAACCACACACUUUUAGUUUUUAGAAAUGUAAGUGACCCAUGACCGUCUUUCCAACUAGCUCACAUUUUAAUCUCUGUUAUAUUCUUGAUUCGUAACCAGGUAACGAUCUGAAUUAACUCUUGGUUUUAGUUGAGAUCGUUGUAUGAGUUUGGUUUUGAAAGCUCAAGGGGUGCGAUUGUAAAAUUUCAAGGGGGCGCUAAGAAUUUUCACUACAAUUAAGUUUUGUCAAUGGUUCCGGUACCCAAGCUUGCAUUGAGGUUAUAUUUGGAAUGUGCUGAGGGUUCCAUGGUGAUUCCGGCAAGAAGGAUCUUCCGAUAUGAUUUUUGAAUCAGCAGUUACGAGUCGAUUCUCCAAUAUAGAUCCGAUGGUUUCUCACAUGUUUACGGCUGUAUAGGGGCUGCAGAGACCACUAGCGGCGUGAUUUGUGAACGUUUCGCGUGAAAGCAAGAUUUCUUUCAUCUAGGUUGUUGUCUGUUCGUUCUUUUCGAGCCACAAAUGUUUAGAGGUCAUGUAAGACUUGAUACUAUGACUCGUAUAAGUUGUCAACCAUUGUGUUACCAGGUAACAUCUACAUACAGAAACGAGGAAGGAUGAUACGUAUUAUCAUAUAAAAGACGUUGUUGGGGACAAGAUGGCGUGGGACCCAUUCAGCCACCAAAUCUUGAUGUUCAAAAUGAUUAAAUGUGGCUCAAGAAGACAAGCCAGCUAGCAACACAGAACCUAAUCUAAAGUUGGACAAGCGGCAAAGGCUAUUGCGGAUGCUUCAGUUAGUGAGCAUAUUAGGACUUCGUUUAAGGAAGCGGGUGUCGUCAAGAAUCUUUUUCGGCUUCUGGAUUAUGACAGCGAACCCAUUCGAUUAGGCGUUGUUCGCGCUUUAGAAAGGCUUUCAGUUAGCAAUGAUGUUUGCCAGAAAAUUCAAGCUGAGGGUGUUUUGAAGCCGUUAAUAAGAUCACUGAAAAAUUCGGAUGCUUCAGAAAGUUCAACUCAUAUGAUCCUGAAUAUUCUUGGUCGGAUAUUAGAUCCCAGUAAAGAAAUGAAAUCAAAGGCCCUCACUUUGUAAGCGUCUUCGCCUAGGCGAUAAUCAUCUGAUAUGCAACUGCUAAAGGACCUGCUAAAGGAAAGACUUAAGGGCUGUUUUGCCUAAGAUGAAGAUGACGACCACGAGAACUAAAUGUGUGCAAGGCUGCUUAGCCUAAGAUGAAGUACCUAAUAGCAUAUAAGGUAUAUAUUACAUAGAGUGUCAGUGUCAAAAGUGAUUGAAGAAGUCAAAGCCGCCGCAAUCCGUUGGGUAAAAAAAAAUAGAUCGAAAUAAGUUGUAAUAGUUUUUUGGCUUUGUCUUGGUGCUUUAUUUUGGGUUUGUAUUGUACUAUGGCUAAUGGAUUGCCUCCAUGUACUGUAAUAUGUUUCUUUAUUGAGAAAUCUAUACAAUUGGUGCU
Molecule: long non-coding RNA, 1593 nt
Organism: Helianthus annuus (common sunflower)
Lineage: Eukaryota; Viridiplantae; Streptophyta; Magnoliopsida; Asterales; Asteraceae
Exons: 11
Source: RefSeq, a predicted model, not a curated record